CUGUUUUCAUCUCAGAAGGAAAGGGUCAGAGCAUUUGAUUAAGAAAGGAGAGAGAAACCUAGAGAGAGAAAAAUGCAGUACCUCGCUCAAGAUCAUCGAUCAUCCCUUUCGACGAUGGGGCUUUGAUUCUUCUCAGCGUCUGAGGUUGUGGAAGAUGACUUUCGACGAUGGGUGUAUUUGUGCGAAAUCGCUUCGUUUUUAUUGAGGUACAAUUCUCUCUCUCCUUUCUCUUAUGAGCUUUCUCCAACCCUCCACUGAAGCAACUCCUGGACUUUCCUCUCCAUUGAAGAAGCUUGAGAGGUUAUUUGAUGAUUCUUUGAUCUCCAGAAAUGGGUGAGGAGGCUACCAAAGUUGUUGUACCGGAGUCAGUUUUGAAAAAGCAGAAGAGGGAGGAAGAAUGGACUUUGGCCAAGAAGGAGGAUCAGGAUGUUCAGAAGAAGAAGAGAGUUGAAAUCAGGAAGCUGAUCACUAACUACAGUAGUAAAUUUGAUCACAUUAAUUAAUUACACAGAAUUCAGCAAGAAAGUGCAUCAGGAAUAAUAAUUUAAUUAAGAUUAUUUAUUUGCCGAAAGUAUGUUAAAAUUGUUGAUCCCACUAGCAACAAGCAUAUAUUCUUUCAUGAUUCUAACCUUCUAUUCAUAACUUCUUUGUAUUAAAAGGAGAAAUUAAAUCAUAAAAAUGUCUUAAUAGAAUAAUAUUUUGUCUUAAAAAAUUAUUGUAUUAAUAAACUUGAUAAAAGUCAGCUCUCUGAUUUGAUUCUUCUUGCUAUGUCAAUUGUUCUAGAAAUUACAUGUCUUUUAAAUGUUUAACAAUACUUAUCUUUUUAAUAAAUUAAUCAUAUACUACCUCCGUUAACUAUUAUGUGCAACAAAGGGGUAUUAUUUGUGGUGUUUGUUCUUGGUGUAUGGUUAUUUAGUAUGAUUAAGUUUCUGAUUAGCCUUGUUUAUUGUUAAUUAGGAGAGGGAAUUGAUCUGUCUCAGAAGGGAGACUAAAUUGAAGGGUGGAUUCUACGUCGACCUAGAGGCUAAGCUCCUAUUUAUCAUCCGUUUCAGUUCUUUUUUGUAUCAGGAUGAUUUUGUGUUGGGAAAGAAAUUGGGAGAAGAGGCUCUUAUAGUUGUUUAUAGGGUUUCUUAGUUAAUAACAAGAUGCCCUCUGUGAAGGUAUCUUUUUUGAUGGAUUGUCCAUGAUGAAUGUAUAUUUUUAUCUAUUCUGAUUUUCAUUUGGCAUAAAGAUAUUGUACUGAUUGAUUGAUGGUGUUUGAUGCAUGCAACUACAAGUGUUUGUUGUUUA
Molecule: long non-coding RNA, 1290 nt
Organism: Chenopodium quinoa (quinoa)
Lineage: Eukaryota; Viridiplantae; Streptophyta; Magnoliopsida; Caryophyllales; Amaranthaceae
Exons: 4
Source: RefSeq, a predicted model, not a curated record